This 547-nucleotide small RNA is filed under the name Pan troglodytes (chimpanzee). Its description in RNAcentral is "processed transcript". The record is from RNAcentral. Lineage: Eukaryota; Metazoa; Chordata; Mammalia; Primates; Hominidae.
AAAUGUCCACAUGCAGCCAGGGUGCUGACUGAGGUGACCAGUUUGCUUGAGUUUUCAUACUCUGCACUCUCCAGUGGAACAGCAGCUGCAGGACUCUUAUUUUUGUGAUGUGGAGCAUGUCUGGGUGUGUGGCAGGGGGAACUGAAAUAGUCUCUGCUGACUUUUUGUACCUACAGAUUUUGUUUCAUUGCUCAUUUUGGAAAAGGGAAGCCCUUAUAGGGGCCAAAUUAAUGGUUUUUCUGUAAAUGAUUUUUUUUCCCCCUCAAACUCCAUUGGCUUGACUUCCAGUGGUAUAGAAAGGCAAUAUGGUGAACUUCUCAGCCCGAAAAAGGAGAUCUCCAAUCAGGGCCGAGAGGCUCAUGCUAAGGUGGAAAGAUUUUCCUCCGUGAUGGACUCUUGGAUACCUACGGGAGAUUUAAAAGGCCCUCAGACCACAGGAUUAAUGCCACAGCUCCGGAGCAAGCCCCAGCCCCGGCCCGGCCAUACCAGGGCGUCCGUGUGAAGGAGCCAGUGAAGGAACUGCUGAGGAGGAAGCGAGGCCACGCCA